RNAcentral lists this small RNA (30 nucleotides) under Bombyx mori (domestic silkworm). RNAcentral describes it as "piRNA piR-bmo-2096068". The record is from RNAcentral. Lineage: Eukaryota; Metazoa; Arthropoda; Insecta; Lepidoptera; Bombycidae.
GAAGAUGUGUGCGUGCCUGUCCAGUACGUC